Molecule: ribosomal RNA, 269 nt
Filed under: uncultured bacterium
Lineage: Bacteria
Description: partial 16S ribosomal RNA
Rfam family: Bacterial small subunit ribosomal RNA
Source: RNAcentral
CUGUCCUCGGGGCGCAGCAGUGGGGAAUAUUGCACAAUGGGGGGAACCCUGAUGCAGCGACGCCGCGUGGGCGAGGAAGUAUUUCGGUAUGUAUAGCCCUAUCGGCAGGGAAGAAAAAAGACGGUACCUGACUAAGAAGCCCCGGCUAACUACGUGCCAGCAGCCGCGGUAAUACGUAGGGGGCAAGCGUUAUCCGGAUUUACUGGGUGUAAAGGGAGCGUAGACGGCAAUACAAGUCGGAAGUGAAAUACCCGGGCUCAACCUGGGAA